UGCUAAUCUGCGAUAAGCGUCGGUAAGGUGAUAUGAACCGUUAUAACCGGCGAUUUCCGAAUGGGGAAACCCAGUGUGUUUCGACACACUAUCAUUAACUGAAUCCAUAGGUUAAUGAGGCGAACCGGGGGAACUGAAACAUCUAAGUACCCCGAGGAAAAGAAAUCAACCGAGAUUCCCCCAGUAGCGGCGAGCGAACGGGGAGGAGCCCAGAGCCUGAAUCAGUGUGUGUGUUAGUGGAAGCGUCUGGAAAGGCGCGCGAUACAGGGUGACAGCCCCGUACACAAAAAUGCACAUGCUGUGAGCUCGAUGAGUAGGGCGGGACACGUGGUAUCCUGUCUGAAUAUGGGGGGACCAUCCUCCAAGGCUAAAUACUCCUGACUGACCGAUAGUGAACCAGUACCGUGAGGGAAAGGCGAAAAGAACCCCGGCGAGGGGAGUGAAAAAGAACCUGAAACCGUGUACGUACAAGCAGUGGGAGCACGCUUAGGCGUGUGACUGCGUACCUUUUGUAUAAUGGGUCAGCGACUUAUAUUCUGUAGCAAGGUUAACCGAAUAGGGGAGCCGAAGGGAAACCGAGUCUUAACUGGGCGUUAAGUUGCAGGGUAUAGACCCGAAACCCGGUGAUCUAGCCAUGGGCAGGUUGAAGGUUGGGUAACACUAACUGGAGGACCGAACCGACUAAUGUUGAAAAAUUAGCGGAUGACUUGUGGCUGGGGGUGAAAGGCCAAUCAAACCGGGAGAUAGCUGGUUCUCCCCGAAAGCUAUUUAGGUAGCGCCUCGUGAAUUCAUCUCCGGGGGUAGAGCACUGUUUCGGCAAGGGGGUCAUCCCGACUUACCAACCCGAUGCAAACUGCGAAUACCGGAGAAUGUUAUCACGGGAGACACACGGCGGGUGCUAACGUCCGUCGUGAAGAGGGAAACAACCCAGACCGCCAGCUAAGGUCCCAAAGUCAUGGUUAAGUGGGAAACGAUGUGGGAAGGCCCAGACAGCCAGGAUGUUGGCUUAGAAGCAGCCAUCAUUUAAAGAAAGCGUAAUAGCUCACUGGUCGAGUCGGCCUGCGCGGAAGAUGUAACGGGGCUAAACCAUGCACCGAAGCUGCGGCAGCGACGCUUAUGCGUUGUUGGGUAGGGGAGCGUUCUGUAAGCCUGUGAAGGUGUACUGUGAGG
RNAcentral lists this ribosomal RNA (1170 nucleotides) under Escherichia coli. RNAcentral describes it as "partial 23S ribosomal RNA". It matches the Rfam family "Bacterial large subunit ribosomal RNA", at positions 59 to 1268 of the family's 2925-position model. Lineage: Bacteria; Pseudomonadati; Pseudomonadota; Gammaproteobacteria; Enterobacterales; Enterobacteriaceae. The record is from RNAcentral.